Molecule: non-coding RNA, 78 nt
Organism: Suillus americanus
Lineage: Eukaryota; Fungi; Basidiomycota; Agaricomycetes; Boletales; Suillaceae
Source: the annotation of a GenBank genome assembly
CUUGUCUUAGCUAAGUGGUCACCGCAACAGAGUCGAAAUCUGUUUCUCUUGGAGUUGGUUCGAAACCUUCUGACAACA